AAGCAGGGCGGUUUAAUACGAUGGCUACGGGAAGGAACGUUACCUGCUCCUGACAUGCCAGAGAACUUCCAGAGAUGGGAUGGUGGCCUUUCGGGUACUAUGAGACAAGUUGGUGCAUGGCUGUCGUCAAGCUAGGUGUUGUGAAAUGUUGGGGUGAAGUCAUGCAACGAGCGCAACCCUUAUCUUUUGUUUGCCAGCGAGUAAUGUCGGGAACUCCAGGGAGACAGCCGGUGAUUAACCGGAGGAAGGUGGGGACGACGUCAAGUCAUCAUGGCCUUUCCGAGUAGGGGUACACACAUGGUACAAUGGCGCAUACAGAGGGCGGCCAACUUGCGAAAGUGAGCGAAUCCCAAAAAAUGCGUCGUAGUCCGGAUUGGAGUUUGCAACUCGACUCCAUGAAGUCGGAAUCGCUCGUAAUCGUGGAUCAGAAUGCCACGGUGAAUACGUUCCCGGGCAUUGUACACACCGCCCGUCACACCAUCAGGGUGGGCGCAAGUCGAAGCAAGGUACCACAAGUCGUAUCAACGUUAAGACUCGACUUCGUUUUAAUCCCCCA
RNAcentral lists this ribosomal RNA (556 nucleotides) under Vibrio sp. PV8(2). RNAcentral's name for it is "bacterial SSU rRNA". It matches the Rfam family "Bacterial small subunit ribosomal RNA", at positions 935 to 1533 of the family's 1533-position model. The record is from RNAcentral. Lineage: Bacteria; Pseudomonadati; Pseudomonadota; Gammaproteobacteria; Vibrionales; Vibrionaceae.